UAGGAAGAGGUGCGGUUGCUAGGUAACAUUACUGACUGAGUUCCAACACGCAAGUAAUGUGAGGGAGUUAACCGCCGAGGUAGUUCAUUGGUUGGACAAUGUGUUACCGACUGUUGGGUUUGAAAACCUGCAGUUGUCACCUAUCGGGUGGAGAGCUUCUGG
This 162-nucleotide non-coding RNA is filed under the name uncultured Idiomarina sp. Its description in RNAcentral is "Lysine riboswitch". It matches the Rfam family "Lysine riboswitch aptamer". Rfam says of the family: Riboswitches are metabolite binding domains within certain messenger RNAs that serve as precision sensors for their corresponding targets. Allosteric rearrangement of mRNA structure is mediated by ligand binding, and this results in modulation of gene expression. The record is from RNAcentral. Lineage: Bacteria; Pseudomonadati; Pseudomonadota; Gammaproteobacteria; Alteromonadales; Idiomarinaceae.